RNAcentral lists this ribosomal RNA (465 nucleotides) under Vreelandella stevensii. RNAcentral describes it as "partial 16S ribosomal RNA". It matches the Rfam family "Bacterial small subunit ribosomal RNA", at positions 338 to 795 of the family's 1533-position model. Lineage: Bacteria; Pseudomonadati; Pseudomonadota; Gammaproteobacteria; Oceanospirillales; Halomonadaceae. The record is from RNAcentral.
CCUACGGGGAGCUGCAGUGGGGAAUAUUGGACAAUGGGCGAAAGCCUGAUCCAGCCAUGCCGCGUGUGUGAAGAAGGCCUUCGGGUUGUAAAGCACUUUCAGUGGGGAAGAAAGCCUUGGGGCUAAUACCCUCGAGGAAGGACAUCACCCACAGAAGAAGCACCGGCUAACUCCGUGCCAGCAGCCGCGGUAAUACGGAGGGUGCGAGCGUUAAUCGGAAUUACUGGGCGUAAAGCGCGCGUAGGCGGUCUGAUAAGCCGGUUGUGAAAGCCCCGGGCUCAACCUGGGAACGGCAUCCGGAACUGUCAGGCUAGAGUGCAGGAGAGGAAGGUAGAAUUCCCGGUGUAGCGGUGAAAUGCGUAGAGAUCGGGAGGAAUACCAGUGGCGAAGGCGGCCUUUUGGACUGACACUGACGCUGAGGUGCGAAAGCGUGGGUAGCAAACAGGAUUAGAUACCCUUGUAGUC